CAAUAGCGUAUAUUAAAGUUGUUGCAGUUAAAAGCUCGUAGUUGGAUUUCGGGGCAGCCUGCCUGGUCCACCGCAAGGUGAGUACUGGUCAGCCGCCCUUCCUCUCGAAAGCCCCGACUGCUCUUCAUUGCAGUGGUCGGGUAGUUCGGGACGUUUACUUUGAAAAAUUAGAGUGUUCAAGGCAGGCUAUCGCCUGAAUACAUUAGCAUGGAAUAAUGGAAGAGGACCUCGGUCCUAUUUUGUUGGUUUCUAGGGCCGAAGUAAUGAUUAAGAGGGACAGUUGGGGGCAUUCGUAUUUAAUUGUCAGAGGUGGAAUUCUUGGAUUGAGUUUUGACGAACUACUGCGAAAGCAUUUGCCAAGGAUGUUUUCAUUGAUCAAGAACGAAAGUUGGGGGAUCGAAGAUGAUUAGAU
Molecule: ribosomal RNA, 412 nt
Filed under: uncultured eukaryote
Lineage: Eukaryota
Description: SSU rRNA
Rfam family: Eukaryotic small subunit ribosomal RNA
Source: RNAcentral